Molecule: long non-coding RNA, 811 nt
Organism: Schistocerca cancellata (South American locust)
Lineage: Eukaryota; Metazoa; Arthropoda; Insecta; Orthoptera; Acrididae
Exons: 3
Source: RefSeq, a predicted model, not a curated record
UUGCUGGUCGUGUGCGUCUGGCGUGGGACAGUCGUGGCCGAGGAGACUGCGCGUGACUUUGUUUCUCUUCCCUCUCCGGUGGACUGCAUAACCUUCGCAUUUACUGCUGUGGUCGCAGCUCGGAGAUGUAAUUCGAAGCACCGUUGCUUGAAAACGCUCAGCGAUGUGGUGUUGUGGAUCACGGAAGAUUUUAAAACUAACCUAACGGUUUUGGAUCUGUAGCUAUCAUAUUUUGUGUAUCAGUUUCUACCGUGAUAUGCACGUGUGAAAUUGUUAGUGUGUUUGCCUUGGAAGGACAGAGUUCACUCACUGUUGCUACAGCUUUCUUGCGCACAGUCGCAUGUUAGUUUGAUGAGUAAACUGCAGUGUAUAGAAAUGUGCGGUGGUAUGUGCUGGACCUUUUGCGACGUCAGUGUAUGAGCAUAACCUCGAGGGUGACGUCUUGUGACAUCUCCGACGUACCGAGGAUGCAUAUCGUACAGUAGGCGUGUAACAGUUGUAGUGCACGCAAAGUGGAACUUCCUCUACAAGGUUGGUAGAAACAGAAUUACGUACAUAAGGAACUGCCUGGACUCUCAACAGCGUAGCAGCUUCUCGGCGUGAAGGGCGGAGCACAGCUUACCGGAGAAAGGCGGAGCACGAGAGGAGGACACCGCUGCUGCCGACACACCCAUGGAAGCGCACCUGCGGCUCCACUGAAACUCGCAGCCAGUGUGAGGCUACCGGACUGGGUGCGGGGCGAUGCUGAUUGAACCGGAGGGGCGCCCAGCAGUGAGUGACGAGAGCGCGGUCCCCGGCAGCGGCGACAGGG